AAAAUUGGACCUUGGGACUGGCCAGUCGCUUUCCUAUGCAAGAGGCUCGACCCGGUGGCCGCUGGAUGGCAGGUGUGCCUCUGGAUCAUAGCGGCCAUAGCCCUACUAGUCAGAGACGCAGACAAACUAACACACGGGCAGCCGCUGAUCAUCGCCACAUCCCAUGCCAUGGAGAGCCUUCUCCACCAACCCCCAACCCGCUGGAUCUCUCAUGCCCGGCUGACACAUUACCAGUCCCUUCUCCUGGAUGAGAAUCCACUCUCCUUCCGUGUGGUCUCCACCUUGAAUCCCGCUACCCUCUUGCCCACCUCCUCGACCACCGGCCCAGAGCACUCAUGCCAGGAGAUCCUCGUGGAAUCGAUCUCUGCGGGACCUGACCUGAAAGACACACCUCUACCGCACUCAGACCUUAUCCUCUUCACCGAUGGCAGCAGCUUCGUGACACCCUCCGGUCAACAAGCAGGAGCCGCCAUUGUGGAUAAUGUAGGUACCAUCUGGUGGUGGGCUUCCCUUCCAGGAGGAACCUCAGCUCAGUGGGCAGAAUUUGUCGCCCUGACAGCAGACCUCCGAUUGGUCAAGGGGAAGUGACUGACAGUCUACACAGACAGCCGGUAUGCCUUUGCCACCCUACAUGUCCAUGCCCCCAUCUACCGGGAACGAGGCUAUGUCACCUCCACCAGGAAGCCAGUGGCCCACCUCCAGGACAUCCAGGAACUGCUGGCCACAGUAUGGGAACCUAAGGCCGUCGCAGUGGUACAUACCCCGGGACACCAGUCGGGGACAUCUCCAGAGGCUACGGGAAACCGCCGGGCCAACGAAGCUGCCAGAAAAGCAGCGUCAGAGGCCCCACUAUAUGAACUGGCAAUUAUCACGACCCCUGCCAUCCUUACCAGCCCUGCCGCUGAUACCUCAAACCCUCCCUAAUACUCCCAUUCAGACAUGGAGUGGGUUGAAACCAACUCCAGACAAUUGUCCAACGGAUUCUACCGAGACCCUGAGGGUAGCUUGCUAUUCCCUCAAACUCUGGCCCAACUUCUCUCUGCCCAUCUGCACCACCUCACCCACAUGGGGGCUACCAAGCUACGUGAAUUGCUAAAAAAAGGACAAGUAAAAUUCAGAGGCUCCGGGACCUUCCUGGACGAACUGGUCAGUAACUGUAAAACCUGCCAACUCAACCGAGCAGCAGUCACGGGUCCCCAUGCCGGAGCCAGACUCUGUGGCACCCGACCUUGCGAACAUUGGGAAGUGAACUUCACUGAGGAGGGAAUCACUCAGGAACCAUGGAAAUGGACCUUGACGCCCAUGACGGCCCCGCAUGCAGUCCAAACGCAAACCGUCUCUGGUAACCGGGAACCCACCUUCAAGAUCCUCAGCUGUACACUGAUCCAGACCGAAUACUGCAGUGAAGAUGGGGUCGACAAAGAAGGGCGGCCAUUCCCGACAGCCGACCCCUCGGAAUUCAGCGAAACAGGUUACACACCUCUCAUGGGCCACUAUCUCUGCCCCAGGUCAGAUGGCCAACCCUACUGCGGUGGGGAUGAACACAUCGACAAUUAUUACUGCCACUUCUGGAGGUGUGUAACCAUCGCCGGAGGCAGGGAAACCUCCUGGACAGUGGAUGCAGAUCCAUUCCUCAAAAUGACUCUGGGUUUUAACAAGGGAUGCCGUUGGCAUUGGUCCCAAACCCUUACUGCCAAAAGGGCCCGCUGCACCUCACUGAUCCUUACCCUGCGGCGUCCCAAAGAUAGCAGCUGACUUUCAGGGCGCGUUUGGGGAGUCCGUAGAUACGAAACUGGGUAUGACCAGGGACCUUGUUCACAAUCAGCAAGAGGCCCACCGCCGUCCCGGUAGCUAUAGGACCCAACCCCAUAUUCAACCCAGACCCCGCCAGGCCUGCCAAUA
RNAcentral lists this long non-coding RNA (1902 nucleotides) under Monodelphis domestica (gray short-tailed opossum). RNAcentral describes it as "lncRNA (ENSMODG00000040022.1)". The record is from RNAcentral. Lineage: Eukaryota; Metazoa; Chordata; Mammalia; Didelphimorphia; Didelphidae.